AGUGAACGCUGGCGGUAGGCCUAACACAUGCAAGUCGAACGGCAGCACAGUAAGAGCUUGCUCUUACGGGUGGCGAGUGGCGGACGGGUGAGGAAUACAUCGGAAUCUACUUUUUCGUGGGGGAUAACGUAGGGAAACUUACGCUAAUACCGCAUACGACCUACGGGCGAAAGCAGGGGAUCUUCGGACCUUGCGCGAUUGAAUGAGCCGAUGUCGGAUUAGCUAGUUGGCGGGGUAAAGGCCCACCAAGGCGACGAUCCGUAGCUGGUCUGAGGGGAUGAUCAGCCACACUGGAACUGAGACACGGUCCAGACUCCUACGGGAGGCAGCAGUGGGGAAUAUUGGACAAUGGGCGCAAGCCUGAUCCAGCCAUACCGCGUGGGUGAAGAAGGCCUUCGGGUUGUAAAGCCCUUUUGUUGGGAAAGAAAAGCAGCAGGUUAAUACCCCGCUGUUCUGACGGUACCCAAAGAAUAAGCACCGGCUAACUUCGUG
RNAcentral lists this ribosomal RNA (492 nucleotides) under uncultured bacterium. RNAcentral describes it as "partial 16S ribosomal RNA". It matches the Rfam family "Bacterial small subunit ribosomal RNA", at positions 29 to 507 of the family's 1533-position model. The record is from RNAcentral.